AAACUCAAAUGAAUUGACGGGGACCCGCACAAGCAGCGGAGCGUGUGGUUUAAUUCGUUGCUACACGAAGAACCUUACCUGGGUUUGACAUAUAGGUUGUAGGGAACUGAAAAGGGACCGACCUUCGGGGAGCCUAUACAGGUGUUGCAUGGCUGUCGUCAGCUCGUGUCGUGAGAUGUUCGGUUAAGUCCGCUAACGAGCGCAACCCUCGUCGUAUGUUAUAUGUGUCAUACGAGACUGCCGGUAAAAGCCGGAGGAAGGUGAGGAUGAUGUCAAGUCAGCAUGACCUUUAUAUCCAGGGCUACACACACGCUACAAUGGUCUGUACAAUGGGUAGCCAAGCCGCGAGGCGGAGCCAAUCCUGAAAGCAGGCCUCAGUUCAGAUUGCAGUCUGCAACUCGACUGCAUGAAGCCGGAGUUGCUAGUAACCGCAGGUCAGCAAUACUGCGGUGAAUACGUUCCCGGGUCUU
RNAcentral lists this ribosomal RNA (470 nucleotides) under uncultured Anaerolineaceae bacterium. Its description in RNAcentral is "bacterial SSU rRNA". It matches the Rfam family "Bacterial small subunit ribosomal RNA", at positions 897 to 1382 of the family's 1533-position model. Lineage: Bacteria; Bacillati; Chloroflexota; Anaerolineae; Anaerolineales; Anaerolineaceae. The record is from RNAcentral.